GACAUUAGAGAACGCUUCAAAUGCAUUACAAACGAAAGCACGAAUUGUGGAAGUGCAACUAAAAUGUUGGAAGCUGCGUUUGCCAAAAAGAGCUACAUAGAUUUGGAAGCCGAGAAAGAGAACUGAUAAUUAAGCUGGAAAACCAAACCAAACCAUGAUCGUAGGGAGCCGAGGACUUGGAUAAAUAUUUCAAUUUGUGGAACGUAGAUAUGUUAACCUUAGACCACCUCCAUCGAGGGGUGCUUAGAGGGUUCUUAACCCAAAAGUGAAAAAAAAAUUAAAUAAAAAAGGACCAAAAAUAGAAGAACCGGUGCUUGUUUUGGGCUUUCUGGAGUUGGUAAGAAGCGCAUACGUGUCCGUCUCUGAUUGCACUGUCCCUGUAUUGUCUCUCUCUCUUCGUCAGGGUUUCGACCAAAGCAAAACAAAGUCUCUUCUCUCUCGGACAAUCUGUCGUCUCUGUCGGUCCAUCUUCAUGUGCGCGAUUGCGUCCUUCUCUGAUAACUUCAGUAACCAAACUCCCUUUGCUCAGAUCCAGAUAUUGAACAUCAAUUGGUUUCAGAAGCAACCCCAUGGAAAUGAUGAGAUAAGCUCUCAUGGCUACAUCAAAUGAAAGUUUGGCUUUUGAUGGUUGAGUUGAUUAAGAUACAUAAUGGUUAUGACUUUGUACUUUCGGUAUGAAACUUUAGUGAGAGCCAUAUGUCUUUCUUGAACUCGAUGGCCGUUGGGGGUUUAUAUGCGACUGUUUGUUUGAACAUUGUAGUAGAGCAUAAUGAUUUUACAAUAGCCUAGCUCUCUUGAAAGUCAUAUUGAACUCAAAAUUGUCCAAGUUGUUGAAUUUACACCAGGAAUGUGAUAUUAGUUUAUAA
Long non-coding RNA from Brassica napus (rape), 866 nucleotides. RefSeq lists it as uncharacterized. Lineage: Eukaryota; Viridiplantae; Streptophyta; Magnoliopsida; Brassicales; Brassicaceae. The record is from RefSeq and is a predicted model, not a curated record. The transcript is spliced from 2 exons.